AAUCUUGCACAAUGGAGGGAACUCUGAUGCAGCGACGUCGCGUGAACGAUGAAGGCUUUCGAGUCGUAAAGUUCUGUCCUAUGGGACGAUAAUGACGGUACCAUAGGAGGAAGCCCCGGCUAACUACGUGCCAGCAGCCGCGGUAAUACGUAGGGGGCGAACUUUGUCCGGAUUUAUUGGGCGUAAAGGGUACGCAGGCGGCCAUGUAAGUCAGAUGUGAAAUCCUAGGGCUUAACCCUAGUUAGCAUUUGAAACUGUGUGGCUUGAGUUAAGGAGAGGAAAGUGGAAUUCCUAGUGUAGCGGUGAAAUGCGUAGAGAUAUGGAGGAACACCAGUGGCGAAGGCGACUCUCUGGUCUGUAACUGACGCUGAGGCGCGAAAGCGUGGGGAUCAAACA
This 396-nucleotide ribosomal RNA is filed under the name uncultured bacterium. Its description in RNAcentral is "partial 16S ribosomal RNA". It matches the Rfam family "Bacterial small subunit ribosomal RNA", at positions 360 to 774 of the family's 1533-position model. The record is from RNAcentral.